GAUUAAGUUAUUAAGGGCGCACGGUGGAUGCCUUGGCACUAGAAGCCGAUGAAGGACGUUACUAACGACGAUAUGCUUUGGGUAGCUGUAAGUAAGCGUUGAUCCAGAGAUUUCCGAAUGGGGAAACCCAGCACAAGUUAUGUUGUGUUAUCGACAAGUGAAUUCAUAGCUUGUCAGAAGGCAGACCCGGAGAACUGAAACAUCUUAGUACCCGGAGGAAGAGAAAGAAAAUUCGAUUCCCUGAGUAGCGGCGAGCGAAACGGGAAGAGCCCAAACCAAUAAGCUUGCUUAUUGGGGUUGUAGGACACUCUAUACGGAGUUACAAAGGAAUAUAUUAAACGAAUCAUCUGGAAAGUUGAAUCAAAGAAGGUAAUAAUCCUGUAGUUGAAAAUAUAUUCUCUCUUGAGUGGAUCCUGAGUACGACGGAGCACGUGAAAUUCCGUCGGAAUCUGGGAGGACCAUCUCCUAAGGCUAAAUACUCUCUAGUGACCGAUAGUGAACCAGUACCGUGAGGGAAAGGUGAAAAGUACCCCGGAAGGGGAGUGAAAGAGAACUUGAAACCGUGUGCUUACAAGUAGUCAGAGCCCGUUAAUGGGUGAUGGCGUGCCUUUUGUAGAAUGAACCGGCGAGUUACGAUCUGAUGCAAGGUUAAGCAGAAAAUGUGGAGCCGUAGCGAAAGCGAGUCUGAAUAGGGCGUGUAGUAUUUGGUCGUAGACCCGAAACCAGGUGAUCUACCCAUGGUCAGGUUGAAGUUCAGGUAACACUGAAUGGAGGACCGAACCGACUUACGUUGAAAAGUGAGCGGAUGAACUGUGGGUAGCGGAGAAAUUCCAAUCGAACUUGGAGAUAGCUGGUUCUCUCCGAAAUAGCUUUAGGGCUAGCCUCAAGUGAUGAUUAUUGGAGGUAGAGCACUGUUUGGACGAGGGGCCCCUCUCGGGUUACCGAAUUCAGACAAACUCCGAAUGCCAAUUAAUUUAACUUGGGAGUCAGAACAUGGGUGAUAAGGUCCGUGUUCGAAAGGGAAACAGCCCAGACCACCAGCUAAGGUCCCAAAAUAUAUGUUAAGUGGAAAAGGAUGUGGCGUUGCCCAGACAACUAGGAUGUUGGCUUAGAAGCAGCCAUCAUUUAAAGAGUGCGUAAUAGCUCACUAGUCGAGUGACACUGCGCCGAAAAUGUACCGGGGCUAAACAUAUUACCGAAGCUGUGGAUUGUCCUUUGGACAAUGGUAGGAGAGCGUUCUAAGGGCGUUGAAGCAUGAUCGCAAGGACAUGUGGAGCGCUUAGAAGUGAGAAUGCCGGUGUGAGUAGCGAAAGACGGGUGAGAAUCCCGUCCACCGAUUGACUAAGGUUUCCAGAGGAAGGCUCGUCCGCUCUGGGUUAGUCGGGUCCUAAGCUGAGGCCGACAGGCGUAGGCGAUGGAUAACAGGUUGAUAUUCCUGUACCACCUAUAAUCGUUUUAAUCGAUGGGGGGACGCAGUAGGAUAGGCGAAGCGUACGAUUGGAUUGUACGUCUAAGCAGUGAGAUUGAGUGUUAGGCAAAUCCGGCACUCUUAAGAUUGAGCUGUGAUGGGGAGAGGAAAUUGUUUC
This 1586-nucleotide ribosomal RNA is filed under the name Staphylococcus hominis. RNAcentral describes it as "partial 23S ribosomal RNA". It matches the Rfam family "Bacterial large subunit ribosomal RNA", at positions 1 to 1586 of the family's 2925-position model. Lineage: Bacteria; Bacillati; Bacillota; Bacilli; Caryophanales; Staphylococcaceae. The record is from RNAcentral.